GACGAACGCUUGCGGCGUGCUUAACACAUGCAAGUCGAACGGAAAGGCCCUGCUUUUGUGGGGUGCUCGAGUGGCGAACGGGUGAGUAACACGUGAGUAACCUGCCCUUGACUUUGGGAUAACUUCAGGAAACUGGGGCUAAUACCGGAUAGGAGCUCCUGCUGCAUGGUGGGGGUUGGAAAGUUUCGGCGGUUGGGGAUGGACUCGCGGCUUAUCAGCUUGUUGGUGGGGUAGUGGCUUACCAAGGCUUUGACGGGUAGCCGGCCUGAGAGGGUGACCGGCCACAUUGGGACUGAGAUACGGCCCAGACUCCUACGGGAGGCAGCAGUGGGGAAUAUUGCACAAUGGGCGGAAGCCUGAUGCAGCAACGCCGCGUGCGGGAUGACGGCCUUCGGGUUGUAAACCGCUUUCGCCUGUGACGAAGCGUGAGUGACGGUAAUGGGUAAAGAAGCACCGGCUAACUACGUGCCAGCAGCCGCGGUGAUACGUAGGGUGCGAGCGUUGUCCGGAUUUAUUGGGCGUAAAGGGCUCGUAGGUGGUUGAUCGCGUCGGAAGUGUAAUCUUGGGGCUUAACCCUGAGCGUGCUUUCGAUACGGGUUGACUUGAGGAAGGUAGGGGAGAAUGGAAUUCCUGGUGGAGCGGUGGAAUGCGCAGAUAUCAGGAGGAACACCAGUGGCGAAGGCGGUUCUCUGGGCCUUUCCUGACGCUGAGGAGCGAAAGCGUGGGGAGCGAACAGGCUUAGAUACCCUGGUAGUCCACGCUGUAAACGGUGGGUACUAGGUGUGGGGUCCAUUCCACGGGUUCCGUGCCGUAGCUAACGCUUUAAGUACCCCGCCUGGGGAGUACGGCCGCAAGGCUAAAACUCAAAGGAAUUGACGGGGCCCCGCACAAGCGGCGGAGCAUGCGGAUUAAUUCGAUGCAACGCGUAGAACCUUACCUGGGUUUGACAUGGAUCGGGAGUGCUCAGAGAUGGGUGUGCCUCUUUUGGGGUCGGUUCACAGGUGGUGCAUGGCUGUCGUCAGCUCGUGUCGUGAGAUGUUGGGUUAAGUCCCGCAACGAGCGCAACCCUUGUUCACUGUUGCCAGCACGUUAUGGUGGGGACUCAGUGGAGACCGCCGGGGUCAACUCGGGGGAAGGUGGGGAUGACGUCAAGUCAUCAUGCCCCUUAUGUCCAGGGCUUCACGCAUGCUACAAUGGCUGGUACAGAGAGUGGCGAGCCUGUGAGGGUGAGCGAAUCUCGGAAAGCCGGUCUCAGUUCGGAUUGGGGUCUGCAACUCGACCUCAUGAAGUCGGAGUCGCUAGUAAUCGCAGAUCAGCAACGCUGCGGUGAAUACGUUCCCGGGGCU
This 1346-nucleotide ribosomal RNA is filed under the name uncultured bacterium. RNAcentral's name for it is "partial 16S ribosomal RNA". It matches the Rfam family "Bacterial small subunit ribosomal RNA", at positions 28 to 1381 of the family's 1533-position model. The record is from RNAcentral.